GAUGAACGCUGGCGGCGUGCCUAAUACAUGCAAGUCGAGCGAACGGACGAGAAGCUUGCUUCUCUGAUGUUAGCGGCGGACGGGUGAGUAACACGUGGAUAACCUACCUAUAAGACUGGGAUAACUUCGGGAAACCGGAGCUAAUACCGGAUGAUAUUUUGAACCGCAUGGUUCAAAAGUGAAAGACGGUCUUGCUGUCACUUAUAGAUGGAUCCGCGCUGCAUUAGCUAGUUGGUAAGGUAACGGCUUACCAAGGCAACGAUGCAUAGCCGACCUGAGAGGGUGAUCGGCCACACUGGAACUGAGACACGGUCCAGACUCCUACGGGAGGCAGCAGUAGGGAAUCUUCCGCACUGGGCGAAAGCCUGACGGAGCAACGCCGCGUGAGUGAUGAAGGUCUUCGGAUCGUAAAACUCUGUUAUUAGGGAAGAACAUAUGUGUAAGUAACUGUGCACAUCUUGACGGUACCUAAUCAGAAAGCCACGGCUAACUACGUG
This 497-nucleotide ribosomal RNA is filed under the name uncultured bacterium. RNAcentral describes it as "partial 16S ribosomal RNA". It matches the Rfam family "Bacterial small subunit ribosomal RNA", at positions 28 to 507 of the family's 1533-position model. The record is from RNAcentral.